GGGCCUUUAGCUCAGCUGGCUAGAGCGCGCGCUUGAUAAGCGCGAGGUCCCUGGUUCGACCCCAGGAAGGCCCACCA
Molecule: transfer RNA, 77 nt
Filed under: Gammaproteobacteria bacterium
Lineage: Bacteria; Pseudomonadati; Pseudomonadota; Gammaproteobacteria
Also listed under: 10 other names
Description: tRNA-Ile
Rfam family: tRNA
About the family: Transfer RNA (tRNA) molecules are approximately 80 nucleotides in length. Their secondary structure includes four short double-helical elements and three loops (D, anti-codon, and T loops).
Source: RNAcentral